Molecule: long non-coding RNA, 945 nt
Filed under: Pan troglodytes (chimpanzee)
Lineage: Eukaryota; Metazoa; Chordata; Mammalia; Primates; Hominidae
Description: long non-coding RNA NONPTRT010599
Source: RNAcentral
CCUGCUGCCACAAGACCUGCUGCUGCUAAAGCCCUGCCAGUCUUCGUACUGCUACUGUCAGGAGGUGCUGGACCGGCUCAUCCAAUGCGGGCUCCUGGUUGCUGAGGAGACCCCAGGCUCCCGGCCAGCCUGUGACACAGGGCGACAGCGAUUGAGCAGAAAGCUGCUGUGGAAACCGAGUGGGGACUUUACUGAUAGUGACAGUGAUGACUUCGAAGAGGCUGAGGGCCGGUACUUCAGGGUGUGUUUCAAAAAGCUGCCCCUGGAGGGAGGUGGUAGGGAGGCGGUGGGGAGCUGCACUCACCCCGGCCUGUCCCCUCCAGCUCAGCCAGCAGUCACACUGCCCAGAUUUCUUUCUUUUCCUCUGCCGCCUGCUCAGCCCGCUGCUCAAGGCCUUUGCACAGGCUGCCGCCUUCCUCCGCCAGGGCCAGCUGCCCGAUACUGGUGAGGCCCUUGUUCCCUUGCAGUCCUCGAGGCAGGCUGUGUCUGUGCUGGGUGCCAGGUCUAGGUCUUCUCUCUUCUGCAGAGUUGGGCUACACAGAGCAGCUGUUCCAGUUCCUGCAGGCCACCGCCCAGGAAGAAGGGAUCUUCGAGUGUGCGGACCCAAAGCUCGCCAUCAGUGCUGUCUGGACCUUCAGAGACCUAGGGGUUCUGCAGCAGACGCCGAGCCCUGCAGGCCCCAGGCUCCACCUGUCCCCUACUUUUGCCAGCCAGGACAAUCAGGAAAAACUAGAACAGUUCAUCCGGCAGUUCAUUUGUAGCUAGAACUGUGAGGAGGAGCCUGUGCUGAGACUUCUCAGCCCCAGAACACAGCUGUGUCCUAGAGCCAGAAGAUGGAGAGGAGGCUGCAAACCCUUAGCUGCUCUAUAAAUAUAAUCAUUGAGGCUUGAUUGUCCCUUGCCAUCUCUUGCUUUUUCCCUUCUUUGAUGUGAUAAACAAGGGGAC